RNAcentral lists this long non-coding RNA (2954 nucleotides) under Triticum aestivum (bread wheat). RNAcentral's name for it is "long non-coding RNA (TAES_LNC009059)". The record is from RNAcentral. Lineage: Eukaryota; Viridiplantae; Streptophyta; Magnoliopsida; Poales; Poaceae.
UCCAUAGGUGGCAAGUUUCACAAGGUCAAAACAAAAAAUAAAUACAAGCUCUCCAUCAACCCAAGCUUACGUGAUCUUAAGCAAAUCUGUAAAAUGGGAAAGAAGAAAGUUAGAAGAAGAAGACUAGAAGAAGAAGAUUAUUAUGAUGCAACUAAAAUGUGAAGAUUAGUAUGAUGCAACUUAUAUCUGUAAAAUAGGUCAUUUUGGAGCUAAGUAUGGUUAUUAUGUCAUUUUUGAGCUAGCUAAGCAUACUAAGUCAUUUUGGUGUAAAACAUGCUAAUGUCAUUCUAGAGCUAAGUAAGGUUAUUAUGUCAUUUUGGAGCUAGCUAAGCAUGUGAAGUCAUUUAGGAGCUAAAAUAUGUCAUUUCUUAAGCAUAUUAUGUCAUUUUAGAGUUAGUUAAGCAUAUUAAGUCAUUUUGGAGGAAAAGAUGCUAAGUAUAGGUCAUUUUAGAGCUAUCCUAGGUUAAAUAGGUCAUUUUUAAGCUAGCUAAGCAUAUUAAGUCAUUUUGGAGGAAAAAUGCUAAGUAUAGGUCAUUUUAGAGCUAUCCUAGGUUAAAUAGGUCAUUUUGGAGCUAAUUAAGCUUAUUAUCUAAUUUUUUAGCUAGCUAAGCAUAUUGAGUCAUUUUGGAGGAAAAAAUGCUAAGUAUAGGUCAUUUUAGAGCUAUCCUAGGUUAAAUAGGUCAUUUUGGAGCUAAGUAAGGUUAUUAUGUCAUUUUGGAGCUAGCUAAGCAUAUGAAGUCAUUUAAGAGCUAAACUAUGUCAUUUCGUAAGCAUAUUAUGUCAUUUUAGAGCUAGUUAAGCAUACUAGUCGUCAACCCGUGCGCUUGCACGGGCUAGCUAGUUUUGAACCUAUAUAUAAAACUGUUGAUAGUUUUCAUGCAAAGACAUUCACUUACACUCGAGUGCUUCCAUGAUUUAGAUUAAGUUAGCAAAAAACAGAUGAAUGUUAAUUAAUUUGCACAUUUGGGACUUGUGUAAAAACGGUGUAAACCCUAGAUGUGACGCACCAUGAAGAUUGUUCUUGCCUAUAUUUAGCAAAGUAGUAGAGACUCUUUGGCUAAAAUGGUCAUGAUAUAAUAGGGAAAAUUCAUUAGUGAGAAAACACUAAAUUAACCAUAUAAUUGUCAUAUAUCCCAGUUUGUCUCUACCGUUUUGGUAAGUAUUGAUUAAUGAAUAAUUAAGUGCCAACUACUAUAUGAAAGUACUAUUACUACAUUUUUUUCUAUUCUAGCAAAUCAUGUACUACUUUGACUGACAUGAUUCACCAAUGUACUAGACGGACAGGAUGUAGUAUAUAUGAUCUAUGGAUUAUUAUGUGAUGUGACGUUUGUAAAAACCUAACUAAAUAUAACUUUAUUUCAUCCUCUUUGUUACAAUUUCACCACAUAGACAAAGGGAAGAGCAAAUUCAUCAAAAGUAUUUACACAACAUGGAAGUUUUGUACAAAACAAAUAUAAUCACAGAACAUUCGACAUCUGCUCAAUGAAAGUGAAGGGCAUACUCUAUGUACACAGAAAGAUUGAAAUGUUAAUAUAUUCGAAAGCGGAAUCUCUUAGCCUUUUACUUUUGUCCUUGCAAGAAUAGUAUAAUAAGAAACUUCAAAUUGGCUUGUUGAAAUGAACAACGAAGAAAGCCACACAAUACAUUUUGAGACCCAAGCUACAUAAUUCUGCAGGAGACAUUGCUAACACACACAAAAAUGAAGCGGUUCAUAUUAUCUAUGAAAUUUCACCAAAAAUAAUAAUAGACAAAACGUAUAUGCAUGUAUAUGGAGAACAUCAUACUGCAAGAUGAAGUGGAAAAUGACACUUGAUGAUCUCAACCAAUAAGGACAUGUACAGAAUCUGUAAGAAGAGAUAAUUAAAUGUGGGUGUAGGAGAAAAAUAUGUACAGACCCAGAAAAACAUAAUCAAAGACAAUACAUACUCUGCAAGUACAGAUUGUGCAAACAUCUGAUGCAUUGAGUAAACAUGGGAGGGCAGGUUAUAAUGCAUAUGUGAAGGACUGAAGGUUACAGUUAUACGGUUGUCAAUGAUAUGCAAUUAUAAUAAUCUUUAUAUUUAAAUUUCGUACCGUAACCUAAGAAUUUACAGCACACAUAAGGGAAAUGUUUCAGUAUGUACGAUCUAUAAGUGUUCAACUGAGUUACACGGACAUAUACAUUGAUAAUACACCCUCAAUUCUCUGCCGAGAAGAAAAAUCAAGGUUCAAUUUACUUGAGCAUUGACAUUGUCUUUGUACUGGAGUAGGAAAAUGUGCCUUAGUUACUGAUAUUUUCCAUAUGACCGAUAAUUUUAUCCACUGCAAAGUAGGAAAGAAGGGCAAUCCUAAAUGGCUCCACUUGAUAAUAUAGGUAUAGAGCAUAAUGCUUUGUGUGGUAGAAAUAAAAAUACAGCCUGCAAUAGAGAACUCAAGCUCUUGAAGAGAUGAAAGGCGAGUAAAACAUGAAUAUCUAUGAUUUGUCGAAAACAACUGGAGCUACCCAUAUACUGUGCAUGAGGAACGGAAACCUGGAGUUGGUGGAUAGAUCAUUGGAAUUGACUCAUCCUCUUUGCUGAUGGAUAGGGCGCCGCCACUAUCCAUCGAAUAUUUCAUAUAAUGCUCUGUACAACCUCACAAACCAAAUUUUUACUUGUAUUUUCCUCUUCUUGUUGUUUAUGGGUAGACAACCCCACAAAUUCCAUAGUUCAAUUGAGCUACUUCCCACCUUGUACAAUUGUUUUGUUGAAUAUAAGUAAAUGGAGUUGAAAUACUGCUCUGAAUAUCAUACUACAAACAACAUAUAAACAUAUGUAUCAGAAAUGAAAAAAAACAUCACUUACCAUACUGAACAUCCCAUUGUUCUGAUGUGUAUUUGGCACCAUUUCAAAUAGCAGAAUAAGAAAUAUGAUAAUGCCAAUAGAAUCCACUGAAUGCUUGAGGCACAAACGAAUCCUUCCCACGUCCACUUCUUG